AACUUUCAACAACGGAUCUCUUGGUUCUGGCAUCGAUGAAGAACGCAGCGAAAUGCGAUAAGUAAUGUGAAUUGCAGAAUUCCGUGAAUCAUCGAAUCUUUGAACGCACAUUGCGCCCCUUGGUAUUCCGGGGGGCAUGCCUGUUCGAGCGUCAUGU
Molecule: ribosomal RNA, 157 nt
Filed under: Rhabdocline weirii subsp. weirii
Lineage: Eukaryota; Fungi; Ascomycota; Leotiomycetes; Helotiales; Cenangiaceae
Description: 5.8S ribosomal RNA
Rfam family: 5.8S ribosomal RNA
About the family: 5.8S ribosomal RNA (5.8S rRNA) is a component of the large subunit of the eukaryotic ribosome.
Source: RNAcentral